Molecule: ribosomal RNA, 219 nt
Filed under: uncultured fungus
Lineage: Eukaryota; Fungi
Description: partial 28S ribosomal RNA
Source: RNAcentral
UUGCUUUGCCUGGUGUACUUCCUGUUUGACGGGCCAGCAUCAAUUUUGACCGUUGGAAAAAGGCUUUGGGAAUGUGGCACCUCCGGGUGUGUUAUAGCCCUUUGUCAUAUACGACGGUUGGGAUUGAGGACUGCAGCACGCCUUUAUGGCCGGGGUUCGCCCACGUAACGUGCUUAGGAUGCUGGCGUAAUGGCUUUAAGCGACCCGUCUUGAAACACG